Long non-coding RNA from Lates calcarifer (barramundi perch), 6183 nucleotides. RefSeq lists it as uncharacterized. The transcript is spliced from 15 exons. The record is from RefSeq and is a predicted model, not a curated record. Lineage: Eukaryota; Metazoa; Chordata; Actinopteri; Centropomidae.
CAACGUUUGAACCGUUUCCUCGGGUCGUCGGUAGUGUGAGAAAACUGAAUUACUGCUGAAGCCUGGAUGAUAAAACAAGCUGUGGGGCCGCUUUUUUGUCGAACACGAGUGAGGCUGGACGCUGAUCACACUGCGGCGCGAAGGUGUCACCACUUGGUCCACGACAUUCUCCACGAUCACAGAGACAUCGUCAGAGAUCGGAGAGACAUUGUUGAGGAUGAGGGAGACAUCGUCCACGAUCAGAGACGUCGUCUGUGAUCACAGAGACCUUGUCAAAGACGAGAGAGACGUUGUCCAUGAUCAGAGACAUUGUCCCAUGCUUCGUAGAGCUCUGCGCAAGAGUCGGUAGUGACACUGUGGUUCCUCGAUUCGACGGCAUGACCGCGAUCAUGGAAACAUUGUCAAAGAUCACAGAGACAGCGUCUAUGAUCUCAGAGACAUCGUCCACGAUCACAAAGACAUUGUCCAUGAUCACAGAGACUUUGUCCAUAAUCUCAGAGACAUUGUCCGCGAUCUCAGAGACGUAGUCCACGAUCAGAGUCUUCGUACAGUGAAGAAGUUUUUCGAGACCAGGACAGAGGCCUCCAGGUGUCACCACUUGGUCCACGACAUUCUCCACGAUCACAGAGACAUCGUCAGAGAUCGGAGAGACAUUGUUGAGGAUGAGGGAGACAUCGUCCACGAUCAGAGACGUCGUCUGUGAUCACAGAGACCUUGUCAAAGACGAGAGAGACGUUGUCCAUGAUCAGAGACAUUGUCCCAUGCUUCGUAGAGCUCUGCGCAAGAGUCGGUAGUGACACUGUGGUUCCUCGAUUCGACGGCAUGACCGCGAUCAUGGAAACAUUGUCAAAGAUCACAGAGACAGCGUCUAUGAUCUCAGAGACAUCGUCCACGAUCACAAAGACAUUGUCCAUGAUCACAGAGACUUUGUCCAUAAUCUCAGAGACAUUGUCCGCGAUCUCAGAGACGUAGUCCACGAUCAGAGUCUUCGUACAGUGAAGAAGUUUUUCGAGACCAGGACAGAGGCCUCCAGGUGUCACCACUUGGUCCACGACAUUCUCCACGAUCACAGAGACAUCGUCAGAGAUCGGAGAGACAUUGUUGAGGAUGAGGGAGACAUCGUCCACGAUCAGAGACGUCGUCUGUGAUCACAGAGACCUUGUCAAAGACGAGAGAGACGUUGUCCAUGAUCAGAGGCAUUGUCCCAUGCUUCGUAGAGCUCUGCGCAAGAGUCGGUAGUGACACUGUGGUUCCUCGAUUCGACGGCAUGACCGCGAUCAUGGAAACAUUGUCAAAGAUCACAGAGACAGCGUCUAUGAUCUCAGAGACAUCGUCCACGAUCACAAAGACAUUGUCCAUGAUCACAGAGACUUUGUCCAUAAUCUCAGAGACAUUGUCCGCGAUCACAGUGAUGUAGUCCACGAUCAGAGUCUUCGUACAGUGAAAAAGUUCUUUGAGACCAGGACAGAGGCCUCCAGGUGUCACCACUUGGUCCACGACAUUCUCCACGAUCACAGAGACAUCGUCAGAGAUCGGAGAGACAUUGUUGAGGAUGAGGGAGACAUCGUCCACGAUCAGAGACGUCGUCUGUGAUCACAGAGACCUUGUCAAAGACGAGAGAGACGUUGUCCAUGAUCAGAGGCAUUGUCCCAUGCUUCGUAGAGCUCUGCGCAAGAGUCGGUAGUGACACUGUGGUUCCUCGAUUCGACGGCAUGACCGCGAUCAUGGAAACAUUGUCAAAGAUCACAGAGACCGCGUCUAUGAUCUCAGAGACAUCGUCCACGAUCACAAAGACAUUGUCCAUGAUCACAGAGACUUUGUCCAUAAUCUCAGAGACAUUGUCCGCGAUCUCAGAGACGUAGUCCACGAUCAGAGUCUUCGUACAGUGAAGAAGUUUUUCGAGACCAGGACAGAGGCCUCCAGGUGUCACCACUUUGUCCACAAUCAUAGAGAUGUCGUCCACGAUUGUAGAGACAUGGUCUAUGAUCGGAGAGACAUUGUUGAGGAUGAGGGAGACAUCGUCCACGAUCAGAGACGUCGUCUGUGAUCACAGAGACCUUGUCAAAGACGAGAGAGACGUUGUCCAUGAUCAGAGACAUUGUCCCAUGCUUCGUAGAGCUCUGCGCAAGAGUCGGUAGUGACACUGUGGUUCCUCGAUUCGACGGCAUGACCGCGAUCAUGGAAACAUUGUCAAAGAUCACAGAGACAGCGUCUAUGAUCUCAGAGACAUCGUCCACGAUCACAAAGACAUUGUCCAUGAUCACAGAGACUUUGUCCAUAAUCUCAGAGACAUUGUCCGCGAUCUCAGAGACGUAGUCCACGAUCAGAGUCUUCGUACAGUGAAGAAGUUUUUCGAGACCAGGACAGAGGCCUCCAGGUGUCACCACUUGGUCCACGACAUUCUCCACGAUCACAGAGACAUCGUCAGAGAUCGGAGAGACAUUGUUGAGGAUGAGGGAGACAUCGUCCACGAUCAGAGACGUCGUCUGUGAUCACAGAGACCUUGUCAAAGACGAGAGAGACGUUGUCCAUGAUCAGAGGCAUUGUCCCAUGCUUCGUAGAGCUCUGCGCAAGAGUCGGUAGUGACACUGUGGUUCCUCGAUUCGACGGCAUGACCGCGAUCAUGGAAACAUUGUCAAAGAUCACAGAGACAGCGUCUAUGAUCUCAGAGACAUCGUCCACGAUCACAAAGACAUUGUCCAUGAUCACAGAGACUUUGUCCAUAAUCUCAGAGACAUUGUCCGCGAUCACAGUGAUGUAGUCCAUGAUCAGAGUCUUCGUACAGUGAAAAAGUUCUUUGAGACCAGGACAGAGGCCUCCAGGUGUCACCACUUUGUCCACAAUCAUAGAGAUGUCGUCCACGAUUGUAGAGACAUGGUCUAUGAUCGGAGAGACAUUGUUGAGGAUGAGGGAGACAUCGUCCACGAUCAGAGACGUCGUCUGUGAUCACAGAGACCUUGUCAAAGACGAGAGAGACGUUGUCCAUGAUCAGAGACAUUGUCCCAUGCUUCGUAGAGCUCUGCGCAAGAGUCGGUAGUGACACUGUGGUUCCUCGAUUCGACGGCAUGACCGCGAUCAUGGAAACAUUGUCAAAGAUCACAGAGACAGCGUCUAUGAUCUCAGAGACAUCGUCCACGAUCACAAAGACAUUGUCCAUGAUCACAGAGACUUUGUCCAUAAUCUCAGAGACAUUGUCCGCGAUCUCAGAGACGUAGUCCACGAUCAGAGUCUUCGUACAGUGAAGAAGUUUUUCGAGACCAGGACAGAGGCCUCCAGGUGUCACCACUUGGUCCACGACAUUCUCCACGAUCACAGAGACAUCGUCAGAGAUCGGAGAGACAUUGUUGAGGAUGAGGGAGACAUCGUCCACGAUCAGAGACGUCGUCUGUGAUCACAGAGACCUUGUCAAAGACGAGAGAGACGUUGUCCAUGAUCAGAGGCAUUGUCCCAUGCUUCGUAGAGCUCUGCGCAAGAGUCGGUAGUGACACUGUGGUUCCUCGAUUCGACGGCAUGACCGCGAUCAUGGAAACAUUGUCAAAGAUCACAGAGACAGCGUCUAUGAUCUCAGAGACAUCGUCCACGAUCACAAAGACAUUGUCCAUGAUCACAGAGACUUUGUCCAUAAUCUCAGAGACAUUGUCCGCGAUCACAGUGAUGUAGUCCAUGAUCAGAGUCUUCGUACAGUGAAAAAGUUCUUUGAGACCAGGACAGAGGCCUCCAGGUGUCACCACUUUGUCCACAAUCAUAGAGAUGUCGUCCACGACUGUAGAGACAUGGUCUAUGAUCGGAGAGACAUUGUUGAGGAUGAGGGAGACAUCGUCCACGAUCAGAGACGUCGUCUGUGAUCACAGAGACCUUGUCAAAGACGAGAGAGACGUUGUCCAUGAUCAGAGACAUUGUCCCAUGCUUCGUAGAGCUCUGCGCAAGAGUCGGUAGUGACACUGUGGUUCCUCGAUUCGACGGCAUGACCGCGAUCAUGGAAACAUUGUCAAAGAUCACAGAGACAGCGUCUAUGAUCUCAGAGACAUCGUCCACGAUCACAAAGACAUUGUCCAUGAUCACAGAGACUUUGUCCAUAAUCUCAGAGACAUUGUCCGCGAUCUCAGAGACGUAGUCCACGAUCAGAGUCUUCGUACAGUGAAGAAGUUUUUCGAGACCAGGACAGAGGCCUCCAGGUGUCACCACUUGGUCCACGACAUUCUCCACGAUCACAGAGACAUCGUCAGAGAUCGGAGAGACAUUGUUGAGGAUGAGGGAGACAUCGUCCACGAUCAGAGACGUCGUCUGUGAUCACAGAGACCUUGUCAAAGACGAGAGAGACGUUGUCCAUGAUCAGAGGCAUUGUCCCAUGCUUCGUAGAGCUCUGCGCAAGAGUCGGUAGUGACACUGUGGUUCCUCGAUUCGACGGCAUGACCGCGAUCAUGGAAACAUUGUCAAAGAUCACAGAGACAGCGUCUAUGAUCUCAGAGACAUCGUCCACGAUCACAAAGACAUUGUCCAUGAUCACAGAGACUUUGUCCAUAAUCUCAGAGACAUUGUCCGCGAUCACAGUGAUGUAGUCCACGAUCAGAGUCUUCGUACAGUGAAAAAGUUCUUUGAGACCAGGACAGAGGCCUCCAGGUGUCACCACUUUGUCCACAAUCAUAGAGAUGUCGUCCACGAUUGUAGAGACAUGGUCUAUGAUCGGAGAGACAUUGUUGAGGAUGAGGGAGACAUCGUCCACGAUCAGAGACGUUGUCUGUGAUCACAGAGACCUUGUCAAAGACGAGAGAGACGUUGUCCAUGAUCAGAGACAUUGUCCCAUGCUUCGUAGAGCUCUGCGCAAGAGUCGGUAGUGACACUGUGGUUCCUCGAUUCGACGGCAUGACCGCGAUCAUGGAAACAUUGUCAAAGAUCACAGAGACAGCGUCUAUGAUCUCAGAGACAUCGUCCACGAUCAGAAAGACAUUGUCCAUGAUCACAGAGACUUUGUCCAUAAUCUCAGAGACAUUGUCCGCGAUCUCAGAGACGUAGUCCACGAUCAGAGUCUUCGUACAGUGAAUAAGUUUUUCGAGACCAGGACAGAGGCCUCCAGGUGUCACCACUUUGUCCACAAUCAUAGAGAUGUCGUCCACGAUUGUAGAGACAUGGUCUAUGAUCGGAGAGACAUUGUUGAGGAUGAGGGAGACAUCGUCCACGAUCAGAGACGUCGUCUGUGAUCACAGAGACCUUGUCAAAGACGAGAGAGACGUUGUCCAUGAUCAGAGACAUUGUCCCAUGCUUCGUAGAGCUCUGCGCAAGAGUCGGUAGUGACACUGUGGUUCCUCGAUUCGACGGCAUGACCGCGAUCAUGGAAACAUUGUCAAAGAUCACAGAGACAGCGUCUAUGAUCUCAGAGACAUCGUCCACGAUCACAAAGACAUUGUCCAUGAUCACAGAGACUUUGUCCAUAAUCUCAGAGACAUUGUCCGCGAUCUCAGAGACGUAGUCCACGAUCAGAGUCUUCGUACAGUGAAGAAGUUUUUCGAGACCAGGACAGAGGCCUCCAGGUGUCACCACUUUGUCCACAAUCAUAGAGAUGUCGUCCACGAUUGUAGAGACAUGGUCCAUGAUCGGAGAGACAUUGUUGAGGAUGAGGGAGACAUCGUCCACGAUCAGAGAUAUUGUCCAUGAUCGCAGAGACCUUGUCAAAGACGAGAGAGACGUUGUCCAUGAUCAGAGACAUUGUCCCAUGCUUCGUAGAGCUCUGCGCAAGAAUCGGUAGAGACGCUGUGGUUCCUCGAUUCGACGGCAUGACCGCGAUCAUGGAAACAUUGUCAAAGAUCACAGAGACAGCGUCUAUGAUCUCAGAGACAUCGUCCACGAUCACAAAGACAUUGUCCAUGAUCACAGAGACUUUGUCCAUAAUCUCAGAGACAUUGUCCGCGAUCACAGAGACGUAGUCCAUGAUCAUACAAUGAGGAAGUUCUUUGUGACCAGGACAGAGGCCUCCAGGCGGAGGAGGAGACCGCGUCACCUGAAGAGGACAACAAAUAUAGUUAAAUGUUCUUAAAAAUGUAUAUGACUUUGAUAAGAAUAGCUUCAUAUUUGCUCAUUACUACAUUAAAUGGUGGGUGAGGGAAUUAAACAGUGUUUCUAAGUGGUCAAACAUCUGUCAUUAUCUUUGCUGUGAAGAAUCAAUAAAGUUGUUGCUUAACUUUUGAG